This 2389-nucleotide long non-coding RNA is filed under the name Malus domestica (apple). Its description in RNAcentral is "long non-coding RNA (MDOM_LNC018576)". Lineage: Eukaryota; Viridiplantae; Streptophyta; Magnoliopsida; Rosales; Rosaceae. The record is from RNAcentral.
GCCUUUAAUUGUUAAUUGCAUGCUAUAUGAUGUUGCUCAAAUGAACAUGUUUUUCAAAAUAAAUCCUUCAUUUAGUUAUUUUACGCAUCACCUUAGAGGAUGGAAUAACCUUAAAUAAAGUUAAGAUUCAAACAAGGAAAGUCUUAUGAUGGAUACUUAGGCACCUGGAGACAAGGAAGGACUUAGGUAGCGAAAUACUUCGUUUUCAUGAUGAUUUUUGUGAGUCCACUUUACUACACCACUAGUCUACUAUUGUAAUUUUAUGAUUUAAUUUUUUUUUAUUGAGUUGCUUCAUGUUUUUAUAUUGUAACUAAUUAUUUAGUAAUGUAUCCAUUAGGUCUUUCAUAGUGGAUCGAAACUUUGAGUUUGAUUCAAGUUUAUAGGAAUCAAAUUUCUACAAUAUAUUGAAAAAUUCAGCCUGGUUGUUAGUUCUCUUAACUUCACUCUUAGUCCUCCCUCCAGUUUGACAACCUAUCCCCUUGUGCAACAAAAAACUGGCCUUCUCCUCAAAGAUUGUUAUUCUGGAGGGUUAACUUCAUACUCAAAGUUUUUAACUAUGCCUUGAAGACAAGAACUUUAUAAUUUUCUUAUGUUAAAUACCAAGAGAACAAUGACCACAAACUGGUUGAAACAAGGUUUGAACCAAUUGGCAAUCCUUGAUGGAAAGGAGAAUAUAGAGAGUGAAAUGACAAUGAUAAAUGUAAGGGAAAUUCUUGUAAAUAUUCAAAUAAUGUCAAUAAAACAAAUGAUAAAUAACAUCUUCAUGACAAUAACUUGGAAGUAAAUAAUACACACUCGGGCAAGUUUCCAAGUCUUUUGGGCAAGUUCUUGUUCUUUUAGGCAUUACAAUAGUAGAGGGCUUUUAUAAGGUAAUCAAUACUACAAAAGGAAGUAGGCGAGCUAUAAAUACAAGGGAAUGUUUGAAGUACAAAAGGAAUAACUUAAAAGUAGGCUGCAAAGCUUUUAUUCAGUCUUUUUGUUCAGUUAAGUGUUAUUUUCUCUAAUUACUUUGCUGCUUUCUAUAGAAGCUUAUUUCUUUCAGAAUUGAGUUUUUCUGAUUCAGUUCAUUUCCUUUGUUUGUACCAUACUUGACCAAUCCCGAAACUAUUGAGCACCGGUCAACGUUAUAUCGUUAAGGACCCAGAAGAGUUUCCCUUCAACCAGGAAGCCAAUCACAGCGCGACACGUGUCAACAUCAGAAACCAAUCACAACACGACAUGUGUCAAUGUCAGAACAAAGCUAGAAUCUCUCUUCUAUAAAAGGAGAUCAUUCUCCCACAAUAUUUUCUAAUGUCAUUUGUACUAAAUCAUUCACUAGUACUCACUAAAGGAGAGCUUGACCCUAUUGAUAGGAGCAUAUUUAUGCGCCUUAGUUAGCUAGUUCUUAUGCAUUUAUGUUGUGUUUUCUUAGUUAAGUUAGUCUUUUAAGCUAUUUUCAUGUGUUUUCAGGUUUUAAGGACAAAGUAAGCAAAAAGAUGCAAUUUGGAGCAUUUUGGAGCAAAAUUGAGCUAGAAUGGAGCUCAUGCAUGUGGAGCCCAAAGAAUGGACGAAUUUGAAGGAUUGAAGAAGCUAGGAAUGUGUUUCAAAGUUGAAGAAUUGAAGAUGCAAAGUUUCCUAAUUGAAGUAGGAAAAUGCCUAAUUGAAGAUGAAAUCCUAGUCAACAAUGAUUCCUAGUUGAAGUUGGAUUUCUAGAAGAUUAAAGAUUCCUACUCAAACAAGGUUUCCUACUUGAAGAAGGAAAGUUAAAAGCCAAAGAAUCAGCUGAAGUGAAGAAACCUUAUCCAAAACAUUAUCCAUAACCUUAUCCUAUCCUAUCUUAUCCUAAUCCUAAUCUACCUAUAUUUCAGCUACAAAAGGGAUUUCUUUUCCUAUUUGGAGACUUAAAACCUGAUUUCUAGAAGCCUUAUCCCUUCCUACAAAGGUGCCACACCUUAUCCCUUGUUUUUCUAGAAAUCAGCCACAAAACAACCUUUCUAGAAGGCCUUAUCCCUUGUCCUACAAAAGUGACGCCCCAAACCUUUCUAGAACUUCUAGAAACCUGAUUAUUCCUUUCCCCCUUGGUUUCUAAAAGCCUUAGCCUUUUCCUUCAAGGAUUGUGUGUUAUUAUCCUAUACAAAUUGGGCCUUUCAAUCCUUUUCCUUUGCUACAUAGGGGCUGCGAAUUUCAGCCUAUAAAUACCAUCCUUUGCUGCACCAUUUAGUCACCACCCUCUACCAUAUUUUCACUACACCAUUCACCCAAACAUCCCUCUUGUGUUGUGAGUUUGCAAAGGAGAAGGAAGGAGACUCUUGGAGCCGUGCAUGCCAUUCAAGGAGCUUGGAUUGUUGGAACGUUUCUAGGUGUUUUCUAUCUUUAUGUCAAUGUUUAAAUUUAUUUAUCUUUGUUUAUU